This 1490-nucleotide ribosomal RNA is filed under the name Pantoea dispersa. RNAcentral describes it as "partial 23S ribosomal RNA". It matches the Rfam family "Bacterial large subunit ribosomal RNA", at positions 690 to 2164 of the family's 2925-position model. Lineage: Bacteria; Pseudomonadati; Pseudomonadota; Gammaproteobacteria; Enterobacterales; Erwiniaceae. The record is from RNAcentral.
GGGCGUUAAGUUGCAGGGUAUAGACCCGAAACCCGGUGAUCUAGCCAUGGGCAGGUUGAAGGUUGGGUAACACUAACUGGAGGACCGAACCGACUAAUGUUGAAAAAUUAGCGGAUGACUUGUGGCUGGGGGUGAAAGGCCAAUCAAACCGGGAGAUAGCUGGUUCUCCCCGAAAGCUAUUUAGGUAGCGCCUCGUGAACUCAUCUCCGGGGGUAGAGCACUGUUUCGGCUAGGGGGCCAUCCCGGCUUACCAACCCGAUGCAAACUGCGAAUACCGGAGAAUGUUAUCACGGGAGACACACGGCGGGUGCUAACGUCCGUCGUGAAGAGGGAAACAACCCAGACCGCCAGCUAAGGUCCCAAAGUCAUGGUUAAGUGGGAAACGAUGUGGGAAGGCAUAGACAGCUAGGAGGUUGGCUUAGAAGCAGCCACCCUUUAAAGAAAGCGUAAUAGCUCACUAGUCGAGUCGGCCUGCGCGGAAGAUGUAACGGGGCUAAAACUAUGUGCCGAAGCUGCGGAUUUGACAUUAGUCAAGUGGUAGGGGAGCGUUCUGUAAGCCGAUGAAGGUGUAUUGAGAAGUAUGCUGGAGGUAUCAGAAGUGCGAAUGCUGACGUGAGUAACGACAAAACGGGUGAAAAACCCGUUCGCCGAAAGACCAAGGGUUCCAGUCCAACGUUAAUCGGGGCUGGGUGAGUCGACCCCUAAGGCGAGGCCGAAAGGCGUAGUCGAUGGGAAAUUGGUUAAUAUUCCAAUACUUCUGUGUAAUGCGAUGAGAGGACGGAGAAGGUUAAGUCAGCCUGGCGUUGGUUGUCCAGGUGGAAGGAUGUAGGUAUGUAUCUUAGGCAAAUCCGGGGUACUCUAUACUGAGAUCCGAUAGCAAGCUGUACUUGUACAGUGAAGUGGCUGAUACCAUGCUUCCAGGAAAAGUCUCUAAGCUUCAGUUACACAGGAAUCGUACCCGAAACCGACACAGGUGGUCAGGUCGAGUAGACCAAGGCGCUUGAGAGAACUCUGCUGAAGGAACUAGGCAAAAUGGUACCGUAACUUCGGGAGAAGGUACGCUGUUGUUGGUGAUGGAACUUGCUUCCUGAGCUGAUGACAGCCGCAGAAACCAGGCCGCUGCAACUGUUUAUUAAAAACAUAGCACUCUGCAAACACGAAAGUGGACGUAUAGGGUGUGAUGCCUGCCCGGUGCUGGAAGGUUAAUUGAUGGGGUUAGCGUAAGCGAAGCUCUUGAUCGAAGCCCCAGUAAACGGCGGCCGUAACUAUAACGGUCCUAAGGUAGCGAAAUUCCUUGUCGGGUAAGUUCCGACCUGCACGAAUGGCGUAAUGAUGGCCAGGCUGUCUCCACCCGAGACUCAGUGAAAUUGAAAUCGCUGUGAAGAUGCAGUGUACCCGCGGCAAGACGGAAAGACCCCGUGAACCUUUACUAUAGCUUGACACUGAACAUUGAGCCUUGAUGUGUAGGAUAGGUGGGAGGCUUUGAAGCG